UCCAAAUCUGCCAAGUGACCCUAUGUAGGGGGAACAUUCCCUAUUCUGCUCUGUGUCAGUGUGUAUCAGGGAUCCUUAGGAUAGGUAUCAAUCCAUAUCUGCCAAGUGACCCUAUGUAGGGGGAACAGUCCCUAUUCUGCUCUGUGUCAGUGUGUAUCAGGGAUCCUUAGGAUAGGUGUCAAUCCAUAUCUGCCAAGUGACCCUAUGUAGGGGGAACAGUCUCUAUUCUGCUCUGUGUCAGUGUGUAUCAUGGUCUCUGAGGACAGGUGUCAAUCCAUAUCUGCC
This is a non-coding RNA of Pelobates cultripes (western spadefoot toad), 285 nucleotides long. Lineage: Eukaryota; Metazoa; Chordata; Amphibia; Anura; Pelobatidae. The record is from the annotation of a GenBank genome assembly.